AGUGAAACAGAUCAAGAUGGCUAUAUAGUCCCUGUAGGUGACCGGACAUCUCAUUCUUUCAGCGUAACAGAGACAUCGGAUGACUAUAUAACACCUAUAGGUGACCAGACAUCCAAUCCUGACAGUGAAAGAAAUCCCUCGGAUAAUUAUUUAGAAUACUCAGCGUUAAGGCAAUCAGGGAAAAG
Mytilus trossulus (common blue mussel) is the source of this 185-nucleotide long non-coding RNA. RefSeq lists it as uncharacterized. The transcript has 6 exons. NCBI's taxonomy places the organism in Eukaryota, Metazoa, Mollusca, Bivalvia, Mytilida, Mytilidae. The record is from RefSeq and is a predicted model, not a curated record.